RNAcentral lists this long non-coding RNA (632 nucleotides) under Vigna radiata. RNAcentral's name for it is "long non-coding RNA (VRAD_LNC006374)". The record is from RNAcentral. Lineage: Eukaryota; Viridiplantae; Streptophyta; Magnoliopsida; Fabales; Fabaceae.
CAUUUAAAUAUGCCAAAGAUUCAACCUUGGACGGCCACUGCAACAACUACUUUCUCACACCUUGUCGUUUCUCAGAAUUUCAGAUCUUCUUCUUCUGCAAAACAAGUCAAGAAGAGGACGAUUGAGAGAAAAUGUGUGUGUCUUGGAGUGAGGGUUUAAGGGUGGAAGUGGAAAGGAGGCAUGGUCGGAGGAGUGAGUGAUCACUGAUUGAGGGAAGAAGAAGGAACACGGCCACAUGGAUUUAAUAAUUUUAAAACAUAAAAAAAAAAAUCCAAGUCAGCUCAAAUUAACGCCGUUUGCUACCACUUAACGGAUGGGAUACGAUGUGUUCAUUUUUGCAAAAUUUGUGACUAAAUUGAGACGGUUGCAAAAUAGAGGACCAAAAUGAGAUAAGUUGACAAACUAGAGGACCAAAUAAGGUAUUAAGCCUAAUAUUUAAAAUGUUUUUAACAAUAUUAUUAAAUCAUUUAUACUUCAAAUUAUUUCUAAAAGUUGAUCAAACAAAAUAAUUGAUUAAGGCAAAUAAGAAUGAUGUUUCCUUCUUUUUUCUUUCUUUUUUUUCUUCAUCCAUUAGGGUGUCUUCUGCUCCCUCCAAAAUGGUUUUUAUCCUUUUGGUUAUAUGACCUUUAUCG